Molecule: long non-coding RNA, 6231 nt
Organism: Physeter macrocephalus (sperm whale)
Lineage: Eukaryota; Metazoa; Chordata; Mammalia; Artiodactyla; Physeteridae
Exons: 3
Source: RefSeq, a predicted model, not a curated record
UGCUUCUCUGUAGCAGAGGCGCCCCCAGGACAUUCUGGGACUGCUGCCCCCUGCUCAGCCACCUCCUUCCCUAGUCCGGGUGGAACCGCUGUGUGGUUUUCUUUCGUAAGCAAACUCCGAACAAGGGCUGAUGUCUCUGGUCGUUGGCCUUUCUUUUCCUUCCAUCAUGGUUUUGUGGGUUGCUGGCUAUUUUAGGGACCGAGUUUGGAGUGGAGCCUCCUUGCUCUGCAGCUCCCUUGGAAGACUCGAUGGCUUCUCAGCCCCCAGCAGAAGGGGGCAGCCCCAAUGUCAUCCGCGUGUGUUCCGCACAGGGCGAGGGCUUAGGGAGGCCCCGAGGAAUGGCUCUAGGGGCUGGUGGGUUUGGUGGUUAGCUCUGCUGUCAGAGCCAGGCUCAGGUGGGUCCCAUUGCACACCUGGCACAGCAUGGGGGAUCCUCUGGCCGCUGCCCGGGGCAGGCUUCCCGACCUCAUCUCAUUAUUGAGCGCUGGGGCCAGGCAGUGCUUCUCAUACUUGGGUGUCCUUGUGAACCACACAGGGAGCCUGUUAGCAGCGCAGACUCCAGGGCCCCUCGGUUGACCUAGGGGUCCUGGGGUCAGCGUUGUUAAUAAGUGCGUGUGAUUGCGAUGUUGGGGGUUCCAGGGCCGUGCUGCCGGUGGCCGAUAGGUAAAGCAGCGUGAUGAGUGGAGUCAGGGGGGCAGGGAGAAAGAAGGGGCUCUAACCCAGGGAGGGGCUGCGGUCACCCCGAAAAGGUGAGCUGAGUCUUGACACAGAGCAGGGCAAAGUAAUGAUCGCUAACUCUGAUUGAAUGCUUGGUGCCAGGCACAGCUCUAAGCCUUUAUGGGAAUGGACUCAUUUGUUUUUCCAUAUGUCCCCUCUUUUUUGGAUUCCCUUCCCAUUUAGGUCACCACAGAGCACUGAGUAGAGUUCCCUGUGCUAUACAGUAGGUUCUCAUUAGUUAUCUCUUUUAUACGCAGUAGUGUAUAUAUGUCAAUCCCAAUCUCCCAAUUCACCCCCCGCCUGGGUAUCCAUACAUUUGUUCUCUACAUCUGUGUCUCUGUUUGUUUCUGCUUUGCAAAUAGGUCAUCUGUACCAUUUUUCUAGAGUCCACAUAUAUGCGUUAAUAUACGAUAUUUGUUUUUCUGUUUCUGACUUCACUCUGUAUGACAGACUCUAGGUCCAUCCACGUCUCUACAAAUGACCCAGUUUCGUUCCUUUUUAUGGCUGGGUAAUAUUCCAUUGUAUAUAUGUGCCACAUCUUCUUUAUCCAGGAAUGGACUCAUUUACUUCUCCCAGCAACCCCACGAAAUAGGUAGUUACCAUGAUCUUGGAGCACAGAGGGGUUAAGGAGCUUGCCCAAGGUUCUUGGCUAGUCGGUGGUGAACUGGGUCUCACCCUCCUCUGUUCCACUGCAUUGGGGCACCCCGGGCAGCAAGACCCGCUCACGCAGAGGCUGUGCAGACCAGGGCUGGGGCUUCUUAGGAGGCGGUCAUGGCGCUGAAUGGUUCAGACAGCGCAGCUCGUAGUGUGUGGGGACAGUUUGGGUUUUGCUGGUGGAGUAUACGGCCGUGAUCUUGGUUAGGGCAGAAGGUUGCAGCAAGGUGACAGCUGCUGUAACAUAGCUUUGAGGGGGCUGAGGCUGUAGUCGGGCAGCCGGGGUUCUGGGCACACGUGCUCUUUGUCUGAACAAGGCAGGACCCCAGGGUCUGGGGAGAGGGUGCAGCGUUAGUGCCCAGGGAGCAGCAAGGCCUGUGCCCUCACACCUGUCCCAGUUGCCCUCUGAGAAGGAAGAAUUCUCCAUGGUCUGAGUCCUUGGAGACUCCCAGGGAGCCUGGCCCAGCUCUUGGGGUCUGAGGGCAAGGGGGAAACUGCUUGGACAGGGGAAGACAUUUUUGUUGGGAGCCGCCCAAGCGCUCUGUAUGCUUCCUUCAGUCCCCGCGUCGCCUGCAAAGGGGGCUGCUUAUUCCUAUGUACUGAUGUGCAAGCGGAGGCACAGAGAAGCAAAGUAACUUAGACACCGUCACACAGCAAGUAAGCAGGUAGUGGCACCAGGUCUGUCUUCUGUGGGAUGCGCUUUUCACCGCAGCGGGGUCCCCCUCGUUCUGAGAGGCCACAUGUCCGGCACACACGGCAGGACUGGUGACCAGGACCCCUCCCUGAGGAGUGGGUGCAGUGGCAGGGUGGGUGGGGCGGGCUCCCAGCAGCCAGCUGGGCAGAUUCCAGCUGAGCUGGGGCCCUGGGUGGGAUGGCCUCGCUUCAGGGGACGGGUUACCGGCCGAUGGGUGGCAUUCCGAGGAGUCAGAGGCCCAGGGUCUGUGGGAGUGGCCUGCUGGGGCCUUCCUGGUGGGGGGGCGGGGCGCUGAUGCUCGGAGCUGAGCCUCUGCCACCCUGGAGGCUCACCUGAGUCUGGGGGCACGAGGGAUCCCUCAUAAAGGAGGACCUGAAACCAAGCUCUGAUUCCAGAGCCCCUUUCUUCCUCCUGUCAGAAGGAAAAUCGGCCACCGGCCCCUCCUGGCUGCUUUCUGGCUAUCCCCUCACCCUAGCCCCAGUCUCUUCCAGCAGAGCGGGCAGCUCGCUGAUUUGAACCUGAACGCCAUCGGGACAAACCAGAAGCCCGCACUGCUCUUUGCCCACGACAGGCUGUUUGCGGGCAGGGGGUGGGGAGUCGCUACUAUUCCUGCGUCACGACAGGCCUGUGACCGUCACUCAGCCUCUCGAGCUCAGUACCUGCAAGACGGGUCCACGCCCCGCAUGUGAAGACGAGGGCCAGAUGGCCCUUCCUCCGGGUCUUCCUGCUUUGCCUAGUUCUUGGGGCCCCUCGCCACUUGGGAUUCCACCGGGAUUCUAGCCCCCGGCUCCCUGCGGGCAGAGGCUGGCCACUCCUGGGCGUGCCUCGGGGUACGGGGCGGGGGGGGGCAGUGAAGCCGGCCACAGGCCGAGCACUGGGGAGAAUCAUGCCACCGCGGAGACCCCGCAGCUACCCCACCUGCCACAGAGCUUCCCGUGGGCCACCGUCUCCUCCUCGGCUCACCUGGGCCAGCCGGUCGACGCCUUACUCACCUGGAGAGUGCUCAAGGACAGCAAGAAAAAUGAGGGACUUUCAGGGGCAGCUGUGUUUUCUGACUCAGUCAUAAUGCCCCUAAAAAUCCUUCUUGUUCUUGCAGUGUGCGUCAGGCAGUGGCCCCAGCCCACCCGGCUGCUCUGGGAUAGGAAGGGCUACCUGGGGUUCGACUGGCGUGUCCCUCUCCGUCGUCCUGAAAUGAGAGUGAAGGGGAACUUACUGAUUAUUAAAACAUUUUGUUGGUCGGUGCCUUGAUUUGCAUGUACUUUUUUUUUUUUUUUUUUUUUUUUGGUAUGCGGGCCUCCCUCUGCUGUGGCCUCUCCCGUCGCAGAGCACAGGCUCCGGACGCGCAGGCCCAGCGGCCACGGCCCACGGGCCCAGCCGCUCCGUGGCAUGUGGGAUCCUCCCAGACCGGGGCGCGAACCCGGUUCCCCUGCAUCGGCAGGCGGACGCGCAACCACUGCACCACCAGGGAAGCCCUGCAUGUACUUUUAUAAUUUCUUCUUUGGGGAGGCCCGGGCCUCGAGACAUUCCUGGGCAGAUCGGAGCCCAGGAGAAUGCAGGGUCUCCCCGGUUUGUGUGGGGGGCGGGUUCCGUAGAGCCCAGCUGCACAUGUCCAGCGCAAGGAAGGGUAGCUUCGGGGGCACUUGUGUCCAGGGCAACAGUGUUGGGCUGGCCGGGAUGCCCCGCCUGGCCUGAGAAGCUGGCACUGUUUAGGGGCGCUGGAUUUUAAAACGGAAGGAGCCUCGGUCCACGCACUGAGACCCAGUGAGCUGGCCGUUUUGCAUAGCCGCCUGCAGUGGAUCGAGGUCUUCCCCCCUGCUGUGACCCUAGAGCCUGCUUUCUCUCUCCCAGAUGGUCUCUACUCCUCUCUCACCUCCUGGGUUUCCACCAUGCUCAGCAGGUGCCCCACCCACGGAUACUUCUGCUGAGCCAAGGCUUUUAUGGGUGGAGGUGGGGGUCCCGGGGGACUGUCAAGCAGAAAUACCAAUUGGUGACAUGCCCCCCUUAACACCAUCCCACAUGUCACCGGAUCCCACAGCAUCGUCCUCUCUGGCAGAGGCUGGGCAGGUGGCCAGCCUGUGGAUGGGUGGACAGGCAGUAAGCAGGACUGUACGUGCUCCCGUGGUCCAUCCCGGGUCCUGUCAGCCUCCCAGUCAGCAGAGGAAGUUCAUCCUCUAGGUAUUUCUAAGGUCUCCCCCCAGGUGCCAACGCAGAAGCUCUUGUCACGCGAGAAGGUGGCCCUUGGUGGGACCCUGACGGCCACGCUCCUCCUCGGCCAGCCGAGCCCCCGGCUCCUUGGGCUCCUGCGGUCCUCACUGUGCUGCCAUCCCAGCUUCCAGAGACGGUGUUUAAGGCGCUGAGUUUGCUCAGCAUUCUUCUGCCCAGGGGAAGGGACGGCUCCAAGAUGGAGGACCGAGGCUAAGGAGAUCAGGAGACUUCCUGAAGGACGCACGUCUAGGAUGCAGCAGAGCUGGGGUGUAGAUCUGCAGCUUCUGACUCCCAAGAGCCUGUGACAUCGCAGAAAAGCAGCCUUGGGUCUUGAAUGAGUUUGGGGCCUGUCCCUGAUGGCCUGGCCUCUGCAGCGAUGUCUGCAGGUAGGAAUGGGUGAUAACACCACCCCCUGGGUACGGAGAGAUGUGAUGACCAUCUGUUGGCUUUCCCGACCCAAGGUCCACAGCCCUUCUUUUUUUCCUUCAGGGGAUGACUUCUCCCCACCUCCUGGGAUUCACAUGGGGCCACUCCCCAUCCACUGGCUUUAGAGGCAGGUAUGUGUCCCAAGCUGGACACUGAGACUCCCUCUUGGGACUUUUGCAGCAACUCUGGGAAAAGAGGCAUUCACUUUUCAUGGGAGUUGCCACAUUGAUGGAACUCCUGCUCUCCACUUGAGGACGGAGCCAAGUGGUAGAGAAAGUAUGCUGUCCCCAGACCUCAGCAAGCCCCUGGAUCCAGCCAUGCCUGAAGCGAACCACACCUCUGGACUAACCUGAUUAUAUGGGCCAAUGAAUGCAUUUCUUUUUCUCUAAAACUAUCCUGAGUUGGAUUUCUGUCAUAGAAAGAGUCCUAAUAAAGCUAUGUUUUUCUUUGGUCUCACUUACUUAAGAAAUCCACUUUGAGGUAUCCACCCACUUUAAGUGUCUAAUUCAUAAAGUUUUUCAAAUGUGUACACCCUUGUAACUACCACCACAGUCGAGCUAUAGAACAUUUCAAGUUCCCUCAUUCCCCUUUAUGGUCAAUUCUCCUGACCCCAAGCAACCACUGACCUGCCUUUGUUCUAGAGAGUCAUUCAGUCUUCUCUCUGGUCAAGUCCCUGGAGGUCAAGGAGAGCGUUUCUCUGAUGCUCCUGUUGUGGGUCAUUUCCCUUGGGACUCAGAGUCACCCCUGGGUCCGAAUGUGCUGAAGCCAGAGGCACCUCUGGGUCCCACAGUUCUGUGGUCCAGGACAUCCUUUGCUUCAUUUGAGCCAGCUUGCCACGGAAGGAGUCCUGGCUGAUACAGCUCGGCCAGGACUGCACCCUUCAGUGAAGCUCCCCUCAAGGACCGCCCCCCACCCCAGGCAAAAUCAGCCAUCAGUCCAGCUCACCUCCUGGGGGCCAGACACUAGUAAGUGCUUUACGUGCAUUAUCUCAAGUCCUCUCAGCAACCCUAGGGGAGUUACUGUUAUCCCCAUUUUACUGGGAUGUGGGUCUUGUGUGCCUCUACAGCUCCUCUGUCCACCAGACUCCUGGCUGCUUGCUCUGCCUCAGCCAUGGCUGUCUCACAAGUGAAGCUGACCCCUCCCUCCCCGACCACAUCCCAGGGUAAGGGGGCUGGCUCCCCAGUGGCCGCCAAAGGGGCUGCAGAGUGGGAGCCGUGCAGGGGAGGGAGGGAUGAACUUGGAGCGGUAGUGUAAGCAGCUUUUGGCAGGAAAGAGCUCUCUGCAGGAGGCCCUUUUGUCUUGCCAGUAACCUAGCACACCUUUCAGAUUUUUUUUUUUUUAACAUCUUUAUUGGAGUAUAAUUGCUUUACAAUGGUGUGUUAGUUUCUGCUUUAUAACCAAGUGAAUCAGUUAUACAUAUACAUAUGUUCCCAUAGCUCUUCCCUCUUGCGUCUCCCUCCCUCCCACCCUCCCUAUCCCACCCCUCUAGGCGGUCACAAAGCACCGAGCUGAUCUCCCUGUGCUAUGCGGCUGCU